RNAcentral lists this ribosomal RNA (468 nucleotides) under uncultured bacterium. RNAcentral describes it as "partial 16S ribosomal RNA". It matches the Rfam family "Bacterial small subunit ribosomal RNA", at positions 28 to 507 of the family's 1533-position model. The record is from RNAcentral.
GACGAACGCUGGCGGCAUGCCUAACACAUGCAAGUCGAACGGAAAGGCCGUGCUUUGGUGGGGUGGUCUGGGUGCGAACGGGUGAGUAACACGUGAGUAACCUGUCCUUGACUGUGAGAUAACUUCAGAAAACUGAGUCUAAUACCGGAUAGGAUCUCCUGCUGCAUGGUGGGGGUGGGUUGGUUUCGGCAGUUGGGGCUGGACUCGCGUCUUAUCAGCUUGUUGGUGGGGUAGUGGCUUACCAAGGCCUUGACGGGUAGCAGGCCUGAGAGGGUGACCGGCCACACUGGGACUGGGCUGCGGCCCAGACUACUACGGGAGGCAGCAGUGGGGAAUAUUGCACAAUGGGAGGAAGCAUGAUGCAGUACCGCAGCGUGCGGGAUGACGGCCUUCGGGUUGUAAACCGCUUUCGCCUGUGACGAAGCGUGAGUGACGGUAAUGGGUAAAGAAGCACCGGCUAACUACGUG